GAGCAAACUCGAUCACUAGCUCUGCAUAUUGUGGCAGCAGCUAAGGGAACCAGGUUUGCUAGAGUAAUUGUGAUAGCUAUGUAUGAACCUCAGAAGCUACUGAGGUGCCCAUUCUGUCACAGUACAGUC
This is a small nucleolar RNA of Apodemus sylvaticus (European woodmouse), 129 nucleotides long. The record is from RefSeq and is a predicted model, not a curated record. NCBI's taxonomy places the organism in Eukaryota, Metazoa, Chordata, Mammalia, Rodentia, Muridae.